GCCCCGACCACCUCGUCAUCGCCGACCUGCCCGUCGCCAAGAGCCUCGGCGCUAUCACCUCCUCCGCUGGGUCCUCCGUCCGCUCCGUCGGCCGGCGAUCACGCCGUAUCAUUGGCCAGAAGGUCCACUUCUGCGUCCGCUGUGACUUCCCCAUCGCCAUCUACGGCCGACUCAUCCCUUGUGACCAUGCUUUUUGUUUGGCGUGUUCAAGAAGUGA
Molecule: unclassified non-coding RNA, 217 nt
Filed under: Hevea brasiliensis (rubber tree)
Lineage: Eukaryota; Viridiplantae; Streptophyta; Magnoliopsida; Malpighiales; Euphorbiaceae
Source: RNAcentral